RNAcentral lists this ribosomal RNA (209 nucleotides) under uncultured bacterium. RNAcentral's name for it is "partial 16S ribosomal RNA". It matches the Rfam family "Bacterial small subunit ribosomal RNA", at positions 568 to 774 of the family's 1533-position model. The record is from RNAcentral.
UGCGCAGGCGGUUUUGUAAGACAGUGGUGAAAUCCCCGGGCUCAACCUGGGAACUGCCAUUGUGACUGCAAGGCUGGAGUGCGGCAGAGGGGGGAUGGAAUUCCGCGUGUAGCAGUGAAAUGCGUAGAUAUGCGGAGGAACACCGAUGGCGAAGGCAAUCCCCUGGGCCUGCACUGACGCUCAUGCACGAAAGGCGUGGGGAGCAAACA